This 617-nucleotide ribosomal RNA is filed under the name uncultured bacterium. Its description in RNAcentral is "bacterial SSU rRNA". It matches the Rfam family "Bacterial small subunit ribosomal RNA", at positions 567 to 1185 of the family's 1533-position model. The record is from RNAcentral.
GUGCGUAGGCGGUCAAGCAAGUCCGGGGUGAAAGACCGAGGCUCAACCUCGGGGUGGCCUUGGAAACUGUUUGACUUGAGUGCUGGAGAGGCAAGGGGAAUUCCACGUGUAGCGGUGAAAUGCGUAGAUAUGUGGAGGAAUACCAGUGGCGAAGGCGCCUUGCUGGACAGUGACUGACGCUGAGGUACGAAAGCGUGGGGAGCAAACAGGAUUAGAUACCCUGGUAGUCCACGCCGUAAACGAUGAGUGCUAGGUGUUGGGGGGGUUACCCUUCAGUGCCGAAGGAAACCCAAUAAGCACUCCGCCUGGGGAGUACGGUCGCAAGACUGAAACUCAAAGGAAUUGACGGGGGCCCGCACAAGCAGUGGAGCAUGUGGUUUAAUUCGAAGCAACGCGAAGAACCUUACCAGGGCUUGACAUCCCCCUGACAGCGCUAGAGAUAGCGUUUCCCUUCGGGGCAGGGGAGACAGGUGGUGCAUGGUUGUCGUCAGCUCGUGUCGUGAGAUGUUGGGUUAAGUCCCGCAACGAGCGCAACCCUUGACCUGUGUUACCAGCGCGUAAAGGCGGGGACUCACAGGUGACUGCCGGCGUAAGUCGGAGGAAGGUGGGGAUGACGU